AAUGUUAAAUAUAAACUCUUAACCUUCAAAGUUAAUUAUAGAAAAAAAUUUUCUAAGCCUUA
RNAcentral lists this transfer RNA (62 nucleotides) under Callosobruchus chinensis (azuki bean weevil). RNAcentral's name for it is "tRNA-Trp". The record is from RNAcentral. Lineage: Eukaryota; Metazoa; Arthropoda; Insecta; Coleoptera; Chrysomelidae.